RNAcentral lists this long non-coding RNA (786 nucleotides) under Solanum tuberosum (potato). RNAcentral describes it as "long non-coding RNA (STUB_LNC008890)". Lineage: Eukaryota; Viridiplantae; Streptophyta; Magnoliopsida; Solanales; Solanaceae. The record is from RNAcentral.
GGGAUUUAAUUAAGUUAAUUAACAAAUUUAAAAUCAGAGUUAAAAUAAAACAAAAUAGUUGCAACCACAUGAUAAAGAGAGGGAGAGAAAAAUUUGGGCCCAUUGCUGCCCAGAACAUUGGACCAGCUGCGGAUUUUUUUUUGGGCCUCUUCCAGCCUUUUUCGUUUCUGAAAAAAACCAUGUAUACUGCCAGUGUAUACUUUGCAUACGGAUCGUAUUUUGACCCAUUUUCUUGUAUAUCGGACUGUAUACUACGCGUAUACAAUCCUCUUUGACGCCUUCAACCUGUAUUCUCAUUUUUUGAACCUUUAUAUCGUAUUUUUCCAUGUAUACCCGUGUAUACAGCAAUUAUGUAGCCCCUUUUUUGGGCUUUUUGAGACCUGCAACCAGUCCCUAACCCCUGUAAACUUAUUCUUAAUUCGAACUUCACUUAAGACUGACUUAACGGAGAGAGAUUUGGGGUCCUUACAGCCCAUUCAAGACGCAAAGGCAAAGAGUCUCCCACGGACUCGGAAAGGUUCAUACAAGAAAAACAAGAGGGCAAAAAUUAGCAUUCGAAAUAAUAAGACAAGCGAGUCAUAACUUAAACAAGACAUGGCUCAAAUGAAAUGGAAACCACUUAAGAAAAUCAAAACCAAGAAUACAACCAACCCAACUAUUGAACCCAAAAGUAGUAGGUGACUUUGAGGAAGGCAAAACUGAAUUAGCUAAACAAAUGACAAAAAUUAACGAACAAAGCUUGAAAAUUUAACAGUAACAGAGACAUAUACUUAUGAACCUUAGAAC